AUUGAACGCUGGCGGCAUGCCUUACACAUGCAAGUCGAACGGUAACAGCACUUCGGUGGCUGACGAGUGGCGAACGGGUGAGUAAUACAUCGGAACGUGCCCGAGAGUGGGGGAUAACGCAGCGAAAGCUGUGCUAAUACCGCAUACGAUCUACGGAUGAAAGCAGGGGACCGCAAGGCCUUGCGCUCAUGGAGCGGCCGAUGGCAGAUUAGGUAGUUGGUGGGAUAAAAGCUUACCAAGCCGACGAUCUGUAGCUGGUCUGAGAGGACGACCAGCCACACUGGGACUGAGACACGGCCCAGACUCCUACGGGAGGCAGCAGUGGGGAAUUUUGGACAAUGGGCGAAAGCCUGAUCCAGCCAUGCCGCGUGCAGGAUGAAGGCCUUCGGUUGUAAACUGCUUUUGUUACGGAACGAAAGGUACGUUUUCUAAUUAAAGAAGGACUCAUGACGGUACCGUAAGAAUAAGACACCGGCUAACUACGUAGCCAGC
Molecule: ribosomal RNA, 492 nt
Filed under: uncultured bacterium
Lineage: Bacteria
Description: bacterial SSU rRNA
Rfam family: Bacterial small subunit ribosomal RNA
Source: RNAcentral